RNAcentral lists this ribosomal RNA (253 nucleotides) under uncultured bacterium. RNAcentral's name for it is "partial 16S ribosomal RNA". It matches the Rfam family "Bacterial small subunit ribosomal RNA", at positions 524 to 777 of the family's 1533-position model. The record is from RNAcentral.
CACGUAGGGCGCAAGCGUUGUCCGGAAUUAUUGGGCGUAAAGAGCUCGUAGGCGGUCUGUUGCGUCCGCUGUGAAAACUCGGGGCUUAACCCCGAGCCUGCAGUGGAUACGGGCAGACUAGAGGUAGGUAGGGGAGAAUGGAAUUCCCGGUGUAGCGGUGAAAUGCGCAGAUAUCGGGAGGAACACCGGUGGCGAAGGCAGGUCUCUGGGCCAUAACUGACGCUGAGAAGCGAAAGCAUGGGAGCGAACGAGG